CCUACGGGUGGCUGCAGUAGGGAAUAUUGCUCAAUGGGGGAAACCCUGAAGCAGCAACGCCGCGUGGAGGAUGAAGGUUUUCGGAUUGUAAACUCCUUUUUUUAGAGAAGAUAAUGACGGUAUCCAACGAAUAAGCACCGGCUAACUCCGUGCCAGCAGCCGCGGUAAUACGGAGGCUGCAAGCGUUACUCGGAAUCACUGGGCGUAAAGAGCGCGUAGGCGGGAUAGCAAGUCAGAUGUGAAAUGCUAUGGGUUAACCAUAGAACUGCAUUUGAAACUGUUAGUCUAGAGUAUGGGAGAGGUAGGUGGAAUGCUUGGUGUAGGGGUAAAAUCCGUAGAGAUCGAGAGGAAUACUCAUUGCGAAGGCGGCCUGCUAGCACCUAACUGACGCUGAUGCGCGAAAGCGUGGGGAGCGAACAGGAUUAGAUACCCGAGUAGUC
This 440-nucleotide ribosomal RNA is filed under the name uncultured bacterium. Its description in RNAcentral is "partial 16S ribosomal RNA". It matches the Rfam family "Bacterial small subunit ribosomal RNA", at positions 338 to 795 of the family's 1533-position model. The record is from RNAcentral.